UACGGAGGAUGCGAGCGUUAUCCGGAUUUAUUGGGUUUAAAGGGUGCGUAGGCGGGCUUUUAAGUCAGCGGUAAAAAUUCGGGGCUCAACCCCGGCCUGCCGUUGAAACUGGCGGCCUCGAGUGGGCGAGAAGUAUGCGGAAUGCGUGGUGUAGCGGUGAAAUGCAUAGAUAUCACGCAGAACUCCGAUUGCGAAGGCAGCAUACCGGCGCCCGACUGACGCUGAGGCACGAAAGCGUGGGUAUCGAACAGG
Molecule: ribosomal RNA, 252 nt
Filed under: uncultured bacterium
Lineage: Bacteria
Description: partial 16S ribosomal RNA
Rfam family: Bacterial small subunit ribosomal RNA
Source: RNAcentral